This 5536-nucleotide small RNA is filed under the name Prunus dulcis (almond). Its description in RNAcentral is "sRNA ncRNA". Lineage: Eukaryota; Viridiplantae; Streptophyta; Magnoliopsida; Rosales; Rosaceae. The record is from RNAcentral.
UCAAUCAUCUCUUGCAUACUUUCAUAUACAUAUUAUCGUGCUUGUUGUUAAGCAAAACAUGGCAUCCUCAAAGGCUUUUCUUCUUCUUGGUCUUGUCUUUGCUGUUCUCCUCAUCUCCUCUGAGGUCUCAGCUACUCCAACUCGUGAGUUUCUCACUUUCUUAACUAAAUCAUAUAUAUUAAAUUAGUAAUUGUUUCUUUCCAGUAACGAUUUGUGAAUUUAGGCACAUUUUAAUUAAGGUGCACUGGUCGUGAAAAUGAUUAUGCUUCGAACUCUUUUUCUGCAUGUAGGGUUAGUGGUUGUUGCACUUGCGUGACUUAAUUUGCACCUUAUUAAAUACAAACCGAUCUAUGAUUGUUAUAAGUUAUGUAUAUGUUUUUGCUUUAUAUAUAAAAUUUUUGUUUGUUCUCUCAGAGGAGAGUAUAGUCAACGGUGAUGGCCACGGACAUGGAGGGUAUGGCCACGGACAUGGAGGUUAUGGACACGGACAUGGAGGGCAUAGCCACGGACAUGGAGGAUAUGGCCAUGGACAUGGAGGGUAUGGCCACGGCCACCACGGCAAAGGGGGGCCUGGUGCUGCUGAGACUGAAAUCGAGAAUUAGAUAACCUAUUAGUUUCUGUGACUUACGUUGCAGUUGUGUUGUAAGGGUAGUAGUACGAAAUAAAGUUGUUUGGUUGAGUAAUCUAUAUGAAAUAUCAAUCAUAGACUCGUCUUAAGCUUGUUCUCGUGUUCUCUGUAAUGUACGCAUUGGAAUGUGUUCUCUUGUUAUGUGAUAAAAUGUGAUGUAACUUUCUCAAUACAUAUAUUAUGUAAAAAAAUGUUUAGUAUGGCUUGACUCCUUAAAAUGGAGGGGGAGCACAUCCUCACAACAAAUGAGAUUUUGACACUUGUUAAAAUAACUUUACUUUUUCCUAAUAUUAAUCGAGUUCAUAUAUGACUCAUUUGUUUUGUGCGAUCACAUUUGGUUAAUGAAUUGUGCACCAAAUCUAAUAGGAUAUCGAUCCUCUGCUAUAAUUUUAGUCCCCUAAUAGGAUGGAUCGUACUUUGGAGCACAUUCGGUAGUUCCUACUCUCACUCAAAAAUACAUAUUGGUUGGUCCAUUAAAAUGCAAAUAUCACCUCUCAUAUCAUUAUGCGAACAUUGGGAACAAGAGUAGUGUUUCCACCGUUGGCAAGGGAUUGGAAGAUCUAGCUUGAUGGAAAAAUAAGGAGUAAAACUUAUAGAAGCAUGCAUGUCGUGUAUGUAUUGACGAUACUAAUUUGGCAAUUUCUAGUUGGUGAAUUAAGAAAACAUUUUUAAUCUAUAUAUGUAAAGUAAAAUAUCGUUGUAGUUAAAUUUUAAAAUAAUUCAUCUAAGAAAUUUGUGGUCAAUUUGUGAUUGUAGGGGUCUAAGAGAUUUGUGGUCACUUACCGUUGGAUGUAAAUUCAACGGUUCACUCACUCUUGCACUCAUUUUAAGAAACUUUUUUGAACCGUUGGAUGUUACAUCCAAAGGUGGGUGACCACAGUUUCAUGAACCCUUGUGAUCCAAGAGAUCGAGACUAUUGAUAAGAUAUACAAAUGCAUGAACUAAUUUAGUCAAAUUGAUAACUCGACGACUAAAGUGGCCGAUGAGUUAAAACAAAAGAACCAUUUUAACAUUUAAACCGAAAAAAACAUUUUGAUUAUGUGGGCUGCUUUCGCAAGAGAUGAAGAAAACCUCUUUUUCUACAACCUAGUGAUUUAUAAUAAAAUUUUAUUUAUCUUACUAUUUCUAUUGCAUGCUGCCAUAAGCCUUAUAUUUUUAUAUUGUAAUAGAGUGAAACGCGUCACUCAAUGACUUUCAGUAUGGGCAGUAGCCAAAAAUAUUAGAAUUUAAUUUAUGCAUAUGCUCAGUGCUCAAAUUUAUGGAUGAAGCCACGUGAAGAUUUUGUUAUAUAAAAACAAAAAUAAGCAAAAAAGAAAAAUGGAAGGCCACCCCACGUGAAAUGGUGAAGCAACGGCUACAAUUACAAAGCAAACCAUCAACAAAGAAAUAAAAAAUGCAAAAGGAAGCAUCCAAUGCAAAUUAUAAAAAAAAAGUAAUAGGAAACCGUGCGAAUGCCAGUCUUCAUUCUUAAUAGCUGCCAUGCCAAGUAUAUCAAUUUACGAUGCCUAAUACAUUAAUUAGCACUAAUCGAUAAUUUUUUGAUACUCUAACGAUAAUAUCGAUAAUUAGGAGUGUAUUCAAUUCAAAUUUUUAAUGAUUUUUAUAGAGUUUAAAGUUUGAAUGUAUUCAAUUUAAAUUUUUUAAGAGUUUAUAAAAGUCUAAUGAUAUUCAAUUGUGACUUUUAAAAAGUAGUUAAAGUAGUUAAAAGUUUGGUGGUAUUCAAAAAGUUAAUGAUUUUUUAAAAAGCUUAUUAAAUGAAUGACUUUUCUAUAAAAGUAUUUGAGCUAAUUGUUAACAGCAAAAGUCUUGUUAAUUUAUACUAGUGACUUUUAUAAGUAUUUAAGAAUUUUUCAACUCUAUGAAAGUUACUAAUUUAAAAAAAGUCUUUAUAAGUAUGAAUUAGAUACACCUAGUAUUGAAUUCAUAAUAUAUCAGGUAUUGAAAAUUUAUAUUCCGUAUCAGGCGGUAAGUAGCUAUAUAGCCAUAUUUUCGAGUAAAUAUUAUAUGAGCUUUGAAGAUAAUUAACAUUUAUUCUCUUUGUACUUUAGUAGUUGGGGUUGUAACUUGUAUCUGGUCCUGAUUUUGCAUAUCUAUUAUUUGGUAAAGUACUUCUGAAAAAGCAGAAAUCAUCAAAGUUUGUGGACAUGAGAGAGAGAUUACUGUGGCUGGAUUGUCAACAAAGUGUGAAUGGCUUUUCUUCAUGGUCCUUUGGCUUCAUCUUCUACCCUUCUGCGUUGGUCACAUUCAUGUAAUCUUAUAAAGGAAGCCACGUACCACAAAGGCUACCAAGGGCUGAGUUGGAAUCCCAUUCUAAGUAAGGAUUCUUAUGGUUUCAGAUGAUCUAGUUACAUGAGAACUAGGAACGGAGAACUUUCCCUCCUUUCAACCCGACUCUUUGGUAUUAAGAAUACUGAUUUUAAGAAUGAGUGAUUGCCCUUCUCCGACCCUUAUUGCCCAACCUAAAAGUAGACAGCUAAUACGAUCCACUUAUUGAUAACUAUUGUAGAUUAAUCUAUAUUAAAUUGACUUGUAUUAAUAUAACUUUAUACACAGUACUAGAUAAUAUAGUAGAGAGAUUCAGAAACUUUAAUAAUUGUGACCACAAAAGGAAGCAGUAUAGGUCCUACCUGUGCAUUUUUUCCUGCCUAAACCCUAAACACCUUUUGUUUUUGUGAUAAUCUAAACAUGCUAAAUUAAGAAUGAAAAUUAACAGUUAAAGGACUCUCACGAUCACUCUACAAUACUGCGACCUGAAUGCUGAAUCAGCAACUUAAGUUUCAGCCCAUUUUCCACAUACCUUGAAAAUAUCUCAUCCAAUUUCAUGCAACUAAUCAGACAAAAAUCAACUUCUUUUGACUUGAUCGAAAAAGACAGCUUAGGGCCCGUUUGAAAACCAUUUCAAUUUUAGUUUUUAGUUUUUUAGUUUUUUAGUUUUUUUUUGUGUUAGAGUAUACAAGAAAAAGAAGGAGAAUGAAAUUGAGUGAAGAUGAGAUUGAGAGAGAAGAUGAAAAGAGAGGAUAAGAGGAAGGAGUAACAAAAGUGAAAACAAAAACUAAAAACUGAAAUAUAUUUGAAAUUGUUUUCACUUUUGUUCCUCCUCCCUCCCUUAUCCUCCAUUCUCAUCAUCUCUCUCAUCUCAAUCCUCACUCCCACUCUCAUUUUUCUCUAACAUUCUAGCACAAAAAAUGAAAACCAAAAACUAAAAAUGAAAUGAUUAUCAAAUAGCCCUUACCUUUCGCGUUCCCACCUUUAAGAGAAGCCUACUUAAUACGUAGUCCAUCAAAAGCAGGAAAAAAAGAAAAACAUUGCUUGAUAAAGUCCAAAACCAAAAGAUUAAAAAUAGGGGUUGGGUUUGGCACUUUAUCCUUUAAUCAUACUUAUCUUCUGAUUUGAAAAAAAAAUCCCAAAUUCUUCUUUUCUCUCUCCUUAUCUUUCCAACCCCACUGAUAUCUCAGAAUAAAUAGGGAGAACCAAGCCACAUUAUACUCACUCAGCAAUCAUCUCUUGCAUACUUUCAUAUAUACAUUAUCGUGCUUGUUAAGCAAAACAUGGCAUCCUCAAAGGCUUUUCUUCUUCUUGGUCUUGCCUUUGCUGCUCUCCUCAUCUCCUCUGAGGUCUCAGCUACUCCAACUCGUGAGUUUCUCACUUUCUUAACUAAAUCAUAUAUAUUAAAUAGUAAUUGUAUCUUUCUUUCCAGUAACGAUUUGUGAGUUUAGGCUCAUUUUAAUUAAGGUGCACUGGUCGUGAAAAUGAUUAUGCUUCGAAUUUGUACUAGAUAUAUAUAGCAUUAGUGCUCUAAAAUAUAUUAAUUCUGAGAAUAUCUGGAUGUAAUUUACUCUUUCUGCAGGAAGGGCUAGUGGUUGUUGUACUUGCAUGGCUUAAUCUAUGAUGGUUAAGUGAUGUAUAUUUUAGAGACUAAUGCUAUUUGUAACACAUUUACUGACCAGAUUACUGAUCACCUUUCUAAUAUAGAUGGGCCCCACAUAUACUGGUGGGGCCACCUCUAUUAGAGAGAUGGUCAGUAAAUAUGGUCCAAAGUAGCAGCACUCUAUUUUUUUCUACAUAUUUUCUUGGGUGCUGAUUUUUCCACUCCUUUUUUGGUUUUUUAAUGCUUUUUACUUUAACAUAUAAGGAAGUGUAAGUUGACAAAAGAUGAGUGGGAACAUACAAUUUCCAACAAAAAGAAUGUAAGUGGAUAAAAGAAGAGUGAUAAAAUCAUCUCUCUCUCUCUCUCUCUCUCUCUCUUUUUCUAUAUAUAUAUAAAGUUUUUGUUUGUUCUAUCAGAGGAGAGUGCAGUCAACUAUGAUGACAAUUUUCUUGAUGAUCACGAGCAUGGGCAUGGACAUGACCAUAGGCACGUCCAUGGGCAUGGGCAUGACCACAGGCAUGGACGACAUGGCCAUGGCCACCAUGGCAAAGGGGGACCUGGUGCUGCUGAGACUGAAACCGAGAAUUAGAUAACUUGUUAGUUUCUGUACUUAUGUUGCAGGUGUAUCGUAAGGGUAGUAGUAUGCAAUAAAGUUGUAAUGGUUUGAGUAAUAUCUAUAAACUCUCGAUCAUAGGUUCGCCUUAAGCUUGUUCUUGUGUUCUCUGUCAUGUACGAAUUGGAUCACCUUGUUAUGUACUAAAAUGUGAUUUAACUUGUUGAAUACAUAUUAUGUCAAAAAUUUCUAGUAUGGCUUGGCUACUUAAAAUUGAGGAGGACAUCCUCACAACAAAUGAGAUUUUGAAACUUGUUAAACUUCAAAAGAAAAAAAGGUUAAGGCAAUUCCAAAGAAAAAAAUUUAAAGAAAUUUGCCAAGUUUCAAAAGUCUAUUUGUUUUGAAGACGAACUCCUCCUCAGUUUUAAGGAGUGUAAGUUUUUUCCUAAUAUUAAUGGAGUUUCAUAUAUGACUCAUUUGUUUUGUG